This is a long non-coding RNA of Ictidomys tridecemlineatus (thirteen-lined ground squirrel), 2598 nucleotides long. RefSeq lists it as uncharacterized. Lineage: Eukaryota; Metazoa; Chordata; Mammalia; Rodentia; Sciuridae. The record is from RefSeq and is a predicted model, not a curated record.
CAUAUCAAUUGGACUGGGGGGACCGGACAAUGAGCCCUCCUCCCCCUGCUCUGCCCUUGGUUCGCCGCCCGCCUCCUCCGCUACUUUGUGCCCUUCCUCCUGCUCUUCUUCCUCUCCCAGCCCCAAGUGCUGUCAAGGCGCGGCAGGAAAGCACUGGUCGGCCGGCCCGGAUCCUGCGGGUAAACGCUAAGAGCGCUUCCAGCCGCCCACCAGGCCGCUGGGCCUUGCGUAGCUCCUUAGCUCUAGCCCCGCGCCAGGGAAGGUGGAAGCGCACCGAGCCGAAGCCCCGCGGGUCACGGCUGGCGCUAGGGCGUGGACCAGGCCUGCAGGUGGAGUACUGCCUCAGGCAGCUCCAAGCGGCGCUCCCUCCCAGCACCCACGACCUGGGCCGGGCAAAUCCGCCCCCCUCGCCUACCCAGGGAGCGCAAAUCCCCAGAGGACUUUCCACAGCUUUGGCAAUAGGGCGCAGCCAACUCCCCACCCUCCUCCGGCCUUUACGCCAGAUCCACUAAACUGGCGACCCUUAUUUGCACGCAUCGGGCCGCUGGCGAGGGUUGGGGGAAGCCGAGGCCCACAGAUUCAAGGCAACCGUGUCCUUUGGGACUGCGCUUCUGCUCGCCUAGUCCUGGGGCGAGGUGCCACCGAUUGCCUGCCCAGGGGCCCACAAAGCGAGGCAGCUGGAGCGGCCCAGGCCGGAGCAGGCCAGGCCAAAUCUCUGCUCCAUCUCUCCUGGUCCACCAGCCCCUACCCGCCACCCACCGCCCCAGCCAGCCCUGCAGGAGCUGUCUCCCCGGGCCACGAUAGAAACUAGAAAGCCUGCCCCUGUCCAGGUGCAAGAAAGCAAAGGAGAAGAAAGUCAAGGAGACGAGGCGGCCUGGGCCUGCGGGGCCUCAACACUCACUCCAGCCUCCACCCCUGCCCGCCGCUACCCCGCAAGGUGGUGUCCGCCUGGGAUCGCGCCGGGGCAGAGGCGCAGGAGCCUGCGGGGCCGCCUGGGGUUUUCAGGCAGCCGAGGAUCAAAGAAUGUCGCGGGGAAGGCAAACUGAAAGGGAACUAGAAGCGACGGCAAGCUUUGCACUCCCGGGGCCGAGGCAGACCCGCCACUUCCCCCGCCGGCCUGGCGGAGCUGCGGGCCGGUCUUCUCUCUGGUCUGCCGCGAAGCCCCCGCCGCUCCGGCAAACGCGGCGAGGAAAACCUUUUUCUUUUCUUUUUCUUUUCCCCCUCCCCCUUCUCCCUCCCUCUCCCAGGCAGCUUCCGUCCUCUAAAUGCAUUAAAAGAAAAAGAAAAGAAAGAAAAAAAAAAUAAAAAAUAAAAGAAGUCUCUGGGGCUCUCCUUUUUCCACCGGUCUUGCCUCUGCCUAAUACUGAUGUUCCGCGAACAAGCGCCAAACUCACACAAGUUUCCCCCGAAAACCGACCGCUUUAGCUGCCGUGAGGGAAAAUGUCGGGGGGUGGGGGGGAAGUGGAGGUCUGUGUUUCCCUAAAUGCAAAACAUCAGAGUGGAAUCUGAAAAGAGCUUUACUUUCCCUGCGAAAUCUCCAUUGUUACUUGGCAAACAAUGGGAGCCUGGGCGACUGUAGGGCUGUGAGAAUGAAUAGGCUAUCCGCGGGAUGUGUGCGGGUCAGUGCUUGGGGUCCCGGGCCUAAAGCCCCUUUCUCAGCUUGCCACAAUAAACCAGCGCAAGGUUUAGUCUUUACUGGGUCACCGGCCAUCCUCUAUUAUUCAACACUUCACAACAAAAAACACUUAUUAAUCAGCGCUGACCAGAGGCCCCCUUUGAAACAAGAGAAGAGGGGAGAGAGAGAGAGAGAGAAAGAGAGAGAGAGAGAGAGAGGGAGAAGGAGAGAUUGGGGUGAAAAGAAGAUUGAGAAGCCCUGGACAGAUCUUUCUAAAGCCAGAGCAACCAUAGGGUACUUUCCUCCAGUGGCCAAAGUUUAUUUGACACAACAAAGUUUUUAAUCAGGCCACGGAGACCUGGAUUUCUCCUCAUUUGCCUGACUCCCCCGUCUCUCCCUCUGAAGAUGUUGGAGACUUUGUUUCGAGGAAGGAUGGCUUUAGGUCAAAUUGCUAAAGCCUGAUCUUAAAGAUCUAAUUGCUAUUGGAAGAGAAGCCUGUUUCUCAGCUGGGCCUCCACUCUGGAGAUGGCGCAAAGAAGACUGUCCACUCUGCUCUGGGCACCCUGCUGAUGGAUGAGGUGUCAGGCCAGUCGUCAUGUGAGGACUGGUUUCCAAAUGCAGAAUCCCACUGGACCAGAAAGAUGACUAGAUGGUACAGAGUGCUGAGAGCCAAGAUGAUCUUUAAGGAUGUUUAUGGAUGUGGUACCCAAGAGAGAUGUACAUCCACCCUAAGAAGUCCCAAGCAAUGGAUCCAGCCAACCAUUGACCGAAAACUUUGAAACUGUGAAUCAAACCAAAUCUCUCCUCCUAAAUUCUAAUUCAUUGAUCAUCUUGUUGAAUACAUCAGACCUUGACAGCACUGCCAAGAACUACUUAAAUAAGCAAAAAUUCUUUAAUUAUCUAAGUUAAAUAAGGAUCAGCUAUCAUGUGGAGGCACAAACACGGGGCUAAGAGUAAGGCUGUCCAAUCUACCUUCUUCAAGG